RNAcentral lists this ribosomal RNA (409 nucleotides) under uncultured soil bacterium. RNAcentral's name for it is "bacterial SSU rRNA". It matches the Rfam family "Bacterial small subunit ribosomal RNA", at positions 26 to 433 of the family's 1533-position model. The record is from RNAcentral.
AGGACGAACGCUGGCGGCGUGCUUAACACAUGCAAGUCGAGCGGUAAGGCCUUUCGGGGGUACACGAGCGGCGAACGGGUGAGUAACACGUGGGUGAUCUGCCCUGCACUCUGGGAUAAGCCUGGGAAACUGGGUCUAAUACCGGAUAUGACCUGCUCUCGCAGUGGGGGGUGGUGGAAAGAUUUAUCGGUGCAGGAUGGGCCCGCGGCCUAUCAGCUUUGGUUGGUGGGGUAAUGGCCUACCAAGGCGACGACGGGUAGCCGACCUGAGAGGUGACCGGCCACACUGGGACUGAGACACGGCCCAGACUCCGUACGGGAGGCAGCAGUGGGGAAUAUGCACAACGGGCGAAAGCCUGAUGCAGCGACGCCGCGUGGAGGAUGAAGGUCCGUUCGGGUUAGUAAACCUC